CUACGUGCCAGCAGCCGCGGUAAAACGUAGGUCACAAGCGUUGUCCGGAAUUACUGGGUGUAAAGGGAGCGCAGGCGGGAAGACAAGUUGGAAGUGAAAUCCAUGGGCUCAACCCAUGAACUGCUUUCAAAACUGUUUUUCUUGAGUAGUGCAGAGGUAGGCGGAAUUCCCGGUGUAGCGGUGGAAUGCGUAGAUAUCGGGAGGAACACCAGUGGCGAAGGCGGCCUACUGGGCACCAACUGACGCUGAGGCUCGAAAGUGUGGGUAGCAAACAGGAUUAGAUACCCUGGUAGUCCACACUGUAAACGAUGAUUACUAGGUGUUGGAGGAUUGACCCCUUCAGUGCCGCAGUUAACACAAUAAGUAAUCCACCUGGGGAGUACGACCGCAAGGUUGAAACUCAAAGGAAUUGACGGGGGCCCGCACUAGCAGUGGAGUAUGUGGUUUAAUUCGACGCAACGCGAAGAACCUUACCAAGUCUUGACAUCCUGUGACGAUGCUGGAAACAUGAUUUCUCUUCGGAACACGGAGACAGGUGGUGCAUGGUUGUCGUCAGCUCGUGUCGUGAGAUGUUGGGUUAAGUCCCGCAACGAGCGCAACCCUUAUGGUCAGUUACUACGCAAGAGGACUCUGGCCGGACUGC
Molecule: ribosomal RNA, 643 nt
Filed under: Faecalibacterium prausnitzii
Lineage: Bacteria; Bacillati; Bacillota; Clostridia; Eubacteriales; Oscillospiraceae
Description: bacterial SSU rRNA
Rfam family: Bacterial small subunit ribosomal RNA
Source: RNAcentral